This 1508-nucleotide ribosomal RNA is filed under the name uncultured bacterium. RNAcentral describes it as "bacterial SSU rRNA". It matches the Rfam family "Bacterial small subunit ribosomal RNA". The record is from RNAcentral.
UUAUGGCUCAGGACGAACGCUGGCGGCGUGCCUAAUACAUGCAAGUCGAACGCUUCUUUUUCCACCGGAGCUUGCUCCACCGGAAAAAGAGGAGUGGCGAACGGGUGAGUAACACGUGGGUAACCUGCCCAUCAGAAGGGGAUAACACUUGGAAACAGGUGCUAAUACCGUAUAACAAUCGAAACCGCAUGGUUUUGAUUUGAAAGGCGCUUUCGGGUGUCGCUGAUGGAUGGACCCGCGGUGCAUUAGCUAGUUGGUGAGGUAACGGCUCACCAAGGCCACGAUGCAUAGCCGACCUGAGAGGGUGAUCGGCCACAUUGGGACUGAGACACGGCCCAAACUCCUACGGGAGGCAGCAGUAGGGAAUCUUCGGCAAUGGACGAAAGUCUGACCGAGCAACGCCGCGUGAGUGAAGAAGGUUUUCGGAUCGUAAAACUCUGUUGUUAGAGAAGAACAAGGAUGAGAGUAACUGUUCAUCCCUUGACGGUAUCUAACCAGAAAGCCACGGCUAACUACGUGCCAGCAGCCGCGGUAAUACGUAGGUGGCAAGCGUUGUCCGGAUUUAUUGGGCGUAAAGCGAGCGCAGGCGGUUUCUUAAGUCUGAUGUGAAAGCCCCCGGCUCAACCGGGGAGGGUCAUUGGAAACUGGGAGACUUGAGUGCAGAAGAGGAGAGUGGAAUUCCAUGUGUAGCGGUGAAAUGCGUAGAUAUAUGGAGGAACACCAGUGGCGAAGGCGGCUCUCUGGUCUGUAACUGACGCUGAGGCUCGAAAGCGUGGGGAGCAAACAGGAUUAGAUACCCUGGUAGUCCACGCCGUAAACGAUGAGUGCUAAGUGUUGAAGGGUUUCCGCCCUUCAGUGCUGCAGCUAACGCAUUAAGCACUCCGCCUGGGGAGUACGACCGCAAGGUUGAAACUCAAAGGAAUUGACGGGGGCCCGCACAAGCGGUGGAGCAUGUGGUUUAAUUCGAAGCAACGCGAAGAACCUUACCAGGUCUUGACAUCCUUUGACCACUCUAGAGAUAGAGCUUCCCCUUCGGGGGCAAAGUGACAGGUGGUGCAUGGUUGUCGUCAGCUCGUGUCGUGAGAUGUUGGGUUAAGUCCCGCAACGAGCGCAACCCUUAUUGUUAGUUGCCAUCAUUCAGUUGGGCACUCUAGCAAGACUGCCGGUGACAAACCGGAGGAAGGUGGGGAUGACGUCAAAUCAUCAUGCCCCUUAUGACCUGGGCUACACACGUGCUACAAUGGGAAGUACAACGAGUCGCGAAGUCGCGAGGCUAAGCUAAUCUCUUAAAGCUUCUCUCAGUUCGGAUUGCAGGCUGCAACUCGCCUGCAUGAAGCCGGAAUCGCUAGUAAUCGCGGAUCAGCACGCCGCGGUGAAUACGUUCCCGGGCCUUGUACACACCGCCCGUCACACCACGAGAGUUUGUAACUCCCGAAGUCGGUGAGGUAACCUUUUGGAGCCUGCCGCCUAAGGUGGGAUAGAUGAUUGGGGUGAAGUCGUAACAAGGU